UUUAAUUCGAUGAUACGCGAGGAACCUUACCUAGGCUAGAAUGCGCGUGACCGCUUGAGAGAUCAAGCUUUCCUUCGGGACACAAAGCAAGGUGCUGCAUGGCCGUCGUCAGCUCGUGCCGUGAGGUGUUGGGUUAAGUCCCGCAACGAGCGCAACCCCUACUUUUAGUUGCCAGCAUGUAAUGAUGGGGACUCUAGAAGGACUGCCUGCGCAAGCAGUGAGGAAGGCGGGGACGACGUCAGGUCAUCAUGGCCCUUACGCCUAGGGCUACACACGUGCUACAAUGGCCGGUACAGAGGGUCGCUACUGCGCGAGCGGACGCCAAUCUCACAAAACCGGUCUCAGUUCGGAUCGGAGUCUGCAACUCGACUCCGUGAAGCUGGAAUCACUAGUAAUCGCGUAUCAGCAAUGACG
RNAcentral lists this ribosomal RNA (414 nucleotides) under uncultured bacterium. RNAcentral's name for it is "bacterial SSU rRNA". It matches the Rfam family "Bacterial small subunit ribosomal RNA", at positions 945 to 1359 of the family's 1533-position model. The record is from RNAcentral.